GGGGAAUUUUCCGCAAUGGGCGCAAGUCUGACGGAGCAAUACCGCGUGAGGGAGGAAGGCUCUUGGGUUGUAAACCUCUUUUAUCAGGGAAGAAAAGAUGACGGUACCUGAUGAAUCAGCAUCGGCUAACUCCGUGCCAGCAGCCGCGGUAAUACGGGGGAUGCAAGCGUUAUCCGGAAUUAUUGGGCGUAAAGCGUCCGUAGGUGGCGAAUCAAGUCUUUUGUCAAAGCGUGCGGCUCAACCGCAUAUGGGCAGGGAAAACUGAUUAGCUAGAGUGCGAUAGGGGUCACAGGAAUUCCCAGUGUAGCGGUGAAAUGCGUAGAUAUUGGGAAGAACACCAGCGGCGAAAGCGUGUGACUGGGUCUGCACUGACACUGAGGGACGAAAGCUAGGGGAGCGAAAGGGAUUAGAUACCCCUGUAGUCCUAGCCGUAAACGAUGACAACUAGGUGUGGUUCGUAUCGACCCGAGCCGUGCCGUAGCCAACGCGUUAAGUUGUCCGCCUGGGGAGUACGCACGCAAGUGUGAAACUCAAAGGAAUUGACGGGGGCCCGCACAAGCGGUGGAGUAUGUGGUUUAAUUCGAUGCAACGCGAAGAACCUUACCAAGGCUUGACAUCCUGCGAACUUUUCUGAAAGGAGAAGGUGCCUUCGGGAGCGCAGAGACAGGUGGUGCAUGGCUGUCGUCAGCUCGUGUCGUGAGAUGUUGGGUUAAGUCCCGCAACGAGCGCAACCCGCGUUUUUAGUUGCCAUCAUUGAGUUGGGCACUCUAGAGAGACUGCCGGUGACAAACCGGAGGAAGGUGUGGAUGACGUCAAGUCAGCAUGCCCCUUACGCCUUGGGCUACACACGUACUACAAUGCGUUGGACAGAGGGUCGCAAGUCAGCGAUGGCAAGCCAAUCUCAGAAACCAACGCUCAGUUCAGAUUGCAGGCUGCAACUCGCCUGCAUGAAGGCGGAAUCGCUAGUAAUCGCAGGUCAGCAUACUGCGGUGAAUACGUUCCCGGGCCUUGUACACACCGCCCGUCACACCAUGGGAGUUGGUCAUGCCCGAAGUCGUUACUCUAACCGUUCGCGGAGGAGGAUGCCGAAGGUGGGGCUGAUGACUGGGGUGAAGUCGUAACAAGGUAGCCGUACCGGAAGGUGUGGCUGGAUCACCUCCU
Molecule: ribosomal RNA, 1161 nt
Filed under: Plectolyngbya sp. HA4277-MV3
Lineage: Bacteria; Bacillati; Cyanobacteriota; Cyanophyceae; Leptolyngbyales; Leptolyngbyaceae
Description: bacterial SSU rRNA
Rfam family: Bacterial small subunit ribosomal RNA
Source: RNAcentral